UACGUAGGGUGCGAGCGUUAAUCGGAAUUACUGGGCGUAAAGCGUGCGCAGGCGGUUCGUUGUGUCGGCGGUGAAAGCCCCGGGCUUAACCUGGGAAUGGCCGUUGAAACUGGCGAACUGGAGUGUGGCAGAGGGGGGUGGAAUUCCGCGUGUAGCAGUGAAAUGCGUAGGAGAUGCGGAGGACACCGAUGGCGAAGGCAGCCCCCUGGGCUAACACUGACGCUCAGGCACGAAAGCGUGGGGAGCAAACAGG
Molecule: ribosomal RNA, 253 nt
Filed under: uncultured bacterium
Lineage: Bacteria
Description: partial 16S ribosomal RNA
Rfam family: Bacterial small subunit ribosomal RNA
Source: RNAcentral